GGCGGCGUGGUGAAAUUGGUAGACACGACGGAUUCAAAAUCCGUUACUAGAAAUAGUGUGGCGGUUCGAGUCCGCCCGCCGCUACCA
Molecule: transfer RNA, 87 nt
Filed under: Marinobacter sp.
Lineage: Bacteria; Pseudomonadati; Pseudomonadota; Gammaproteobacteria; Pseudomonadales; Marinobacteraceae
Also listed under: 1 other name
Description: tRNA-Leu
Rfam family: tRNA
About the family: Transfer RNA (tRNA) molecules are approximately 80 nucleotides in length. Their secondary structure includes four short double-helical elements and three loops (D, anti-codon, and T loops). Further hydrogen bonds mediate the characteristic L-shaped molecular structure. tRNAs have two regions of fundamental functional importance: the anti-codon, which is responsible for specific mRNA codon recognition, and the 3' end, to which the tRNAs corresponding amino acid is attached (by aminoacyl-tRNA synthetases). tRNAs cope with the degeneracy of the genetic code in two manners: having more than one tRNA (with a specific anti-codon) for a particular amino acid; and 'wobble' base-pairing, i.e. permitting non-standard base-pairing at the 3rd anti-codon position.
Source: RNAcentral